RNAcentral lists this long non-coding RNA (349 nucleotides) under Homo sapiens (human). Its description in RNAcentral is "HSALNT0361567". Lineage: Eukaryota; Metazoa; Chordata; Mammalia; Primates; Hominidae. The record is from RNAcentral.
GCCAUUUUCUGAAGCUUGAGAUGCAGGAAAAGAGGAGUGCUAUCCAUUAGAUGGAGACAGGAAGUAGAAAAAGAGCUUAAAGUUUUGGCUUGUGUUACUUCCUUGGGGAGAUCUUGCUGGACCACAUCAGGAAUAGGAGGGGUGUGUCCCCACAGCACUGUGUACACGGAAAUGCAGAUGAUAACUCCUGCCUCCAGACCCCUCUCUGAGAUGAUUCUGAGACACAUAUAAAUGGGCUUUGCAAACUGUGGGCAGUAGAUGUGAGAACUCUUCAUCUUCCAGACAGGAUCCAAGGUCCUUUGGAAGGGACAGUGAGCGGACUGCAUCCUGCUUGCAUGAAGACCCUGAU